Long non-coding RNA from Cercocebus atys (sooty mangabey), 1688 nucleotides. RefSeq lists it as uncharacterized. NCBI's taxonomy places the organism in Eukaryota, Metazoa, Chordata, Mammalia, Primates, Cercopithecidae. The record is from RefSeq and is a predicted model, not a curated record. The transcript is spliced from 3 exons.
CCCGCAGUCCAUGGCUAGCACGUUUCCGUUUUCACUUCAACCUCCCAGGCAGGUGCUUGGGGCCUCUUCUCCCUGCAGGCGCCGGUCUCUUUCCCCCUCUAGGUUCCGGGUCAGUCUCAGUUCCCUCAGACUCAAGGAGGGCAGUCCUGCAGCUGCUUUUUCUUCUUGUCCGGGUGGGAGCAACACCCUUUCCUACGUUCUGCUUCCCUAGACUUCAGCCAUAGUUCAGGACAAGGCUUUUGAAAUAGCUUCUGCUGAGAUGUAAAACAAAACAAAGGCCGAGAAUUCCAUCUAGCUUCAAUCACCAGCUGAAAUACAACAUCACAUUGUAUUCCUGCUCCAGCAUCCAGAGAACACAGCUUCCGUUUUCACCUGAGGUGAAAUGAGGAUCCUGAGUGGCCCUUCAAGCCGUUUCUUCCACGUCUGGUGUGGCCCGGGGAAGCCAAAAGAUUAGACAGCCCUGGUUUGGAUGGACAAAGUCUCCAGGAAUGAAGUGCGUUUGGGAUGAGCACAGGACAGGCUGAGGCUCGGUUAUGUGUUUCAUCUGCAAGUUUUCUCAAAUUGUUGCAAAUCUUCAAAAAAUUUUCCAACAUAUCUACUGGAAAAAAUCCACAUAUAAGUGGCCCCCCCACCAGUCCAAACCUGUGUUGUUCAAGAGUCAGUUAUAUUUAUGAGGUGUUUUCAAAAGUUUAUGGAAAAUGUGUCUUACAAAAAAAACUAUGCAUGAAUUUCAAAUUUCUUUUGCACCAAAAUAAACUCAUACUAACUUGUUAUAAUAUGUCUGAAAAGUAUCUAGUUUGAGACACUAAGAAAGAUAAGACAUCAGUUUGGAAAGAGUCCCUAUCAAAGCAACGUGAAUUAUGCUAAAAUUGAAGCAGAACAAACACCAAAUCUGUGGUGAAGCUUAGGUAGAGGACUGGUGAAGUCAUUGAUGCUUUAUAAACAGUUUAGGGGGAUGAUGCCCCACAGAAAUCAGCCAUUUACAAAUGGUUAAGUCAUUUUAAGAAGGAACCGGAUGAUGUUGAACGUGAAGCCUGCAGCAGCAGACCACCUCAGUUUGAGAGGAAAAAAUCAGUCUCAUUGAUGCCCUAAUUAAAGAGGACUGGUGCUUAGCAGCAUAAAUAGCCAACACCGUAGACAUCUCAAUUGGUUCAGCUUACCUAAUCCUGGCCAAAAAAUUAAAGUUGAGCAAAUUUUCUACCUGAUGAGUGCCCAGACUGUCACACCCAGAUCAGCGCCAACCAGAGCAGAGCUUUCAAUGGAAAUUUUACACCAGAGGGGAUCAAGAUCUUGAAGCAUUGCUUAGAAGAAUUGUAACAGGAGAUGAAACAUGGCCCUGCUAGUACCAUUCUGGAGACAAAGCACAAUCAAAGCAAUGGCUACCAAGAGGUGGAAGUGGUGCAGUCACAGCAGAAGUGGACCACCCAAGAACAAAGGUCAUGGCAACAAUUUUUGGGAAUGUUCAAGGCAUUUUGUUUGUUGACUUUCUGGAGGGCCAAAGAACAGUAACAGCUGCUUAUCAUGAGAGUGUUUUGAGAAAGCCAAAGCGUUAGCAGAAAGUUUUCUAGGAAAGCUUCACCAGAGAGUCCUUCUCCACCACGAUGCUCCUGCUAUUUCUUACCAUCAAACCGGGGCAAUCUUUUUUUUUUUGAGACGGAGUCUUUGUCACCCAGGCUGGAGGGCAGUGG